This 251-nucleotide unclassified non-coding RNA is filed under the name Hevea brasiliensis (rubber tree). The record is from RNAcentral. Lineage: Eukaryota; Viridiplantae; Streptophyta; Magnoliopsida; Malpighiales; Euphorbiaceae.
UGGUGGUGGAGGAGAAGGUGGUGGCGGAGAUGGAACUAACGGUGGAGGUGAGAAGACCGGUGGUGGCGGAGAAGCCACUACAGGUGGCGGUGAUGGUGCAACGACCGGUGGUGGUGACGGCGUAACGAGCGGAGGUGGUGAUGGGUUUACUAUUGGAGGUGAAGGAAUGAGAGGUGGUGGAGACGGGAUAACUGGUGGCCGUAUAACCGCUGGUGGAGGAGAUGGUACAAUCGGAGGACGGUAUGGCGGAG